This is a long non-coding RNA of Prinia subflava (tawny-flanked prinia), 868 nucleotides long. RefSeq lists it as uncharacterized. Lineage: Eukaryota; Metazoa; Chordata; Aves; Passeriformes; Cisticolidae. The transcript has 2 exons. The record is from RefSeq and is a predicted model, not a curated record.
AGGGCUCGCGAGCCCCCUCAGGGCGCGGCGGGAGCGCGCGGGGCCCGCGGGCCGGAGCCGCCGCAGCCGCCGGGGCCUCUCCGUUAACCCCGAGAUCAAAAGGGCUCCCAUCACCGCUCCAGAUCCCAUCCCUGUAACUUCGCAGCAGCAGCGCCCCAGUGCCGUGCAGGCAGUCCCUCUCCCUCCCGGCCGCCCCAGUCCAGCAGUUCAGAGGGGCAGGUUUUGUCUGCAUCCACCCCCAGGCCAGGAUCUGCUCCGGCCUGAACUGCGGGAGCCGCCGGCCCGGGCACCCACCCCCUGGCCCGGGUCUGUGCACUCGGGGUAGUGAAGACUCGGCCCCUCCUGGGCCAGCCUGGCCGCCCCCAGCAACAAUCGGCCUUUGCCAGCUGGGAAAGCAAUGGACAGGACAGAUGGAAUGCCAAUUGAUACCUGCACGCCAGUCAGUUUCCAAAGGUGAAGGGAAACGCCAAUGUGCCCAAUGGAGGUGGAGAACUGAUCUGAAAUAAGCGAACGAUCUUUCAAAGAAACAUUUUUGGAGGAACAUACCCCAAGUUCCUGAGCAGUGUGGGGACAGGGCUAUUCUACCCAUGCCAAGGAUUGUAACUACUUCAAGACGUGCGAGAUAACAAUCAGGAGGGUCGAGGGAUGUUGCUUCCUUGAAGAUGUUUUCUGCCAAGGAGUGCUCCAUCAGUGAAAAGUCAUCUGCUCCUCAUACAAUCCGUGUUCUCUUCUCAGGAUCCUUUGCCCAGGAAGAGAUGAACAGAAAUUCCUUGCUCGUAUCCUGAGGCCAGGAAUGAGAGAUGACACGCAAACAAAAAAUAUAAAGAUACUAUCCUUCACAUCUGGAAAAAGAAAACAAAAAAAAAGC